This 72-nucleotide transfer RNA is filed under the name Camelus bactrianus (Bactrian camel). It matches the Rfam family "tRNA". From Rfam's summary of the family: Transfer RNA (tRNA) molecules are approximately 80 nucleotides in length. The record is from Rfam by way of RNAcentral. Lineage: Eukaryota; Metazoa; Chordata; Mammalia; Artiodactyla; Camelidae. RNAcentral also lists the same sequence under 2 other names.
GAGGGCAUAGCUCAGUGGUAGAGCACAUGUCUAGAAUGCAUAAGGUCCUGAGUUCAAUUCCCAAUACCUCUG